This 780-nucleotide ribosomal RNA is filed under the name Kurthia gibsonii. Its description in RNAcentral is "bacterial SSU rRNA". It matches the Rfam family "Bacterial small subunit ribosomal RNA", at positions 1 to 771 of the family's 1533-position model. Lineage: Bacteria; Bacillati; Bacillota; Bacilli; Caryophanales; Caryophanaceae. The record is from RNAcentral.
UUAGAGUUUGANUCCUGGCUCAGGACGAACGCUGGCGGCGUGCCUAAUACAUGCAAGUCGAGCGAAUGACGAGAAGCUUGCUUCUCUGAUUUAGCGGCGGACGGGUGAGUAACACGUGGGCAACCUGCCCUACAGAUCGGGAUAACUCAGGGAAACCUGGGCUAAUACCGGAUAAUCCUUCGAAUCACAUGUUUUGAAGUUGAAAGGCGCUUCGGCGUCACUGUAGGAUGGGCCCGCGGUGCAUUAGCUAGUUGGUGGGGUAACGGCCUACCAAGGCAACGAUGCAUAGCCGACCUGAGAGGGUGAUCGGCCACAUUGGGACUGAGACACGGCCCAAACUCCUACGGGAGGCAGCAGUAGGGAAUCUUCCACAAUGGACGAAAGUCUGAUGGAGCAACGCCGCGUGAGUGAUGAAGGUUUUCGGAUCGUAAAACUCUGUUGUAAGGGAAGAACAAGUACGUUAGGAAAUGAACGUACCUUGACGGUACCUUAUUAGAAAGCCACGGCUAACUACGUGCCAGCAGCCGCGGUAAUACGUAGGUGGCAAGCGUUGUCCGGAUUUAUUGGGCGUAAAGCGCGCGCAGGUGGUUUCUUAAGUCUGAUGUGAAAGCCCACGGCUCAACCGUGGAGGGUCAUUGGAAACUGGGNAACUUGAGUGCAGAAGAGGAUAGUGGAAUUCCAAGUGUAGCGGUGAAAUGCGUAGAGAUUUGGAGGAACACCAGUGGCGAAGGCGACUGUCUGGUCUGUAACUGACACUGAGGCGCGAAAGCGUGGGAGCAA